Molecule: ribosomal RNA, 497 nt
Filed under: uncultured bacterium
Lineage: Bacteria
Description: partial 16S ribosomal RNA
Rfam family: Bacterial small subunit ribosomal RNA
Source: RNAcentral
GAUGAACGCUGGCGGCGUGCCUAAUACAUGCAAGUCGAGCGAACAGACGAGGAGCUUGCUCCUCUGACGUUAGCGGCGGACGGGUGAGUAACACGUGGAUAACCUACCUAUAAGACUGGGAUAACUUCGGGAAACCGGAGCUAAUACCGGGUAAUAUAUUGAACCGCAUGGGUCAAUAGUGAAAGACGGGUUUGCUGUCACUUAUAGAUGGAUCCGCGCCGCAUUAGCUAGUUGGUAAGGUAACGGCUUACCAAGGCAACGAUGCGUAGCCGACCUGAGAGGGUGAUCGGCCACACUGGAACUGAGACACGGUCCAGACUCCUACGGGAGGCAGCAGUAGGGAAUCUUCCGCAAUGGGCGAAAGCUUGACGGAGCAACGCCGCGUGAGUGAUGAAGGUCUUCGGAUCGUAAAACUCUGUUAUUAGGGAAGAACAAAUGUGUAAGUAACUAUGCACGUCUUGACGGUACCUAAUCAGAAAGCCACGGCUAACUACGUG